CACAGAACAGGGCUUCUAAUUUUCUGCCUCAAGGCGAAGAGAGGUUUCACCUUACUGCUGUAGAAAGGAGGUCCACAGUCCCAUCUUUGACGAUAAAUGACAGCCACUGACAUGAAGAGCAUCAGUUAUAAAUAAGAGCGUCACAGGGAGGAAGAAAGGCCUCCCUGCUGUGCUUCAUGUCAAGCCUGAGAGCUGACUUGAUGAUACCCAUUCCUCCUGAUAUUCCCUGACUCAUGCCACGC
This 242-nucleotide long non-coding RNA is filed under the name Fukomys damarensis (Damara mole-rat). Its description in RNAcentral is "lncRNA (ENSFDAG00000025400.1)". The record is from RNAcentral. Lineage: Eukaryota; Metazoa; Chordata; Mammalia; Rodentia; Bathyergidae.